RNAcentral lists this ribosomal RNA (800 nucleotides) under uncultured bacterium. RNAcentral describes it as "bacterial SSU rRNA". It matches the Rfam family "Bacterial small subunit ribosomal RNA", at positions 1 to 808 of the family's 1533-position model. The record is from RNAcentral.
GAAUUCGCCCUUAGAGUUUGAUCCUGGCUCAGGACGAACGCUGGCGGCGCGCUUAACACAUGCAUGUCGAACGAGCGAGAGAGAGCUUGCUUUCUCGAGCGAGUGGCGAACGGGGUGAGUAACGCGUGAGGAACCUGCCUCAAAGAGGGGGACAACAGUUGGAAACGACUGCUAAUACCGCAUAAGCCCACGGCUCGGCAUCGAGCAGAGGGAAAAGGAGCAAUCCGCUUUGAGAUGGCCUCGCGUCCGAUUAGCUAGUUGGUGAGGUAACGGCCCACCAAGGCGACGAUCGGUAGCCGGACUGAGAGGUUGAACGGCCACAUUGGGACUGAGACACGGCCCAGACUCCUACGGGAGGCAGCAGUGGGGAAUAUUGCACAAUGGGGGAAACCCUGAUGCAGCGACGCCGCGUGGAGGAAGAAGGUCUUCGGAUUGUAAACUCCUGUUGUUGAGGAAGAUAAUGACGGUACUCAACAAGGAAGUGACGGCUAACUACGUGCCAGCAGCCGCGGUAAAACGUAGGUCACAAGCGUUGUCCGGAAUUACUGGGUGUAAAGGGAGCGCAGGCGGGAAGACAAGUUGGAAGUGAAAUCCAUGGGCUCAACCCAUGAACUGCUUUCAAAACUGUUUUUCUUGAGUAGUGCAGAGGUAGGCGGAAUUCCCGGUGUAGCGGUGGAAUGCGUAGAUAUCGGGAGGAACACCAGUGGCGAAGGCGGCCUACUGGGCACCAACUGACGCUGAGGCUCGAAAGUGUGGGUAGCAAACAGGAUUAGAUACCCUGGUAGUCCACACUGUAAACG